This 773-nucleotide ribosomal RNA is filed under the name uncultured Neocallimastigales. Its description in RNAcentral is "partial large subunit ribosomal RNA". It matches the Rfam family "Eukaryotic large subunit ribosomal RNA", at positions 23 to 645 of the family's 3401-position model. The record is from RNAcentral. Lineage: Eukaryota; Fungi; Neocallimastigomycota; Neocallimastigomycetes; Neocallimastigales.
AGAGAGAGACAUGCGCGCAUAUCAAUAAGCGGAGGAAAAGAAACUAACAAGGAUUCCCUUAGUAACGGCGAGUGAAGCGGGAAGAGCUCAAAUUUGAAAUCUUCAAGGUUUUACCUUGACGAAUUGUAGUUUAAAGAAGUGUUUUCUGCUGAAGUUUUGGUAAAAGUUCUUUGGAAUAGGACAUCAUAGAGGGUGAGAAUCCCGUAUUUGACCAUUAUUUUCAGCUUUGUGAUACACUUUCAAAGAGUCGGAUUGUUUGGGAAUGCAGUCCAAAAUGGGUGGUAAAUUUCAUCUAAAGCUAAAUAUUGGCGAGAGACCGAUAGCGAACAAGUACCGUGAGGGAAAGAUGAAAAGAACUUUGAAAAGAGAGUUAAACAGUACGUGAAAUUGUCAAAAGGGAAGCGUUUGACACAGUGUUGUUUUCUCGAAAAUCAAUUAAAAAUGGCUCGAUUUUGUAUUGUUGAGACCUUAAAAGCUCACUGUACAUUUUUCGUGUCUUUUUUAAUGCACUUUUCGUUUAACAAGUCAACAUCAGUUUCUUUUGUUGUAAAAGGGUCAUUGGAAGGUGGCUUUCUUUUCGGAGAAAGUGUUUAUAGCCUUUGGCCUCUGCAAUCGGAGAGACUGAGGUCUGCAGCGUAGACUCUUCGGGGUUAGAUACAUUUGUGCUAAGUUAUAGCUUUUUAUAGACAACUUGUUGACUAUAAUUAGUCUUGUAGCUUACUCGCUUAUGCUAUUUUACCUACGCUUAGGAUGUUGAAGUCAUCGUAUCGCGC